AAAUACAUUUAAUGAAUUUUAUUCAAAUUGCUUUAUGUAAUUUUUAAAAAUUAUUCAAGAUCAUCAUAGGUGAUGAAAUACUAAAACUCCCCUGCUUUUAAACUCUCUUUUUUAUUAAGUGGUAUAUUGGUACUGUAUUCAAAGCAUUUUCUGUUUUAUGUAAUUUCCCAUCCUGCUGUAGUGAAACUUCAUAUCUUUAUUCAGUGUAAAAUAAGAAUAAAAUUUUUUCAUGUUUUCCUUGAAUAUGGGAUGCCUUUAGCACUCAAUAAUGAUAGGAAUAUUAAUUUUAUUAUGUUUAUUAAUAAGUUGUCUUUGGAAUAAUUUAGAUAUAUCCACAUUUCCAUUGGAAAAUGCCCCUAUUGGACAUAAUAGACAAUACAACAUGGUGCCAUUCUGGCCCCCAGUCACCAACACAGAAAUGUUUGUUACUGCUCCAGACAACCUGGGAUACACUUAUGAAGUUCAAUGGCCAAGUCGGGAGUUUAGUGUACCUGAGAUAAUUGCCAUAGCAGUAGUUGCCGCUUUGUUACUGGUUGCACUCAUUUUUGGGACUGCUUCUUAUCUGAUUCGUGCCAGACGCAGUAUGGAUGAAGCUAACCAGCCUCUCCUCACUGAUCAAUAUCAAUGCUAUGCUGAAGAAUAUGAAAAACUCCGGAAUCCUAAUCAGUCUGUGGUCUAACAAAUGCCCUACUUUCUUAUGCAUUAGUAUCACAAAACCACCUGGUUGAAUAUAAUAGAUUGAGUAAUUAACUGUAUUUUCUUUCACUUUGUUACCUUCUUUCUAAUACAAG
This 791-nucleotide small RNA is filed under the name Pongo abelii (Sumatran orangutan). RNAcentral's name for it is "processed transcript". Lineage: Eukaryota; Metazoa; Chordata; Mammalia; Primates; Hominidae. The record is from RNAcentral.